RNAcentral lists this non-coding RNA (1351 nucleotides) under Betula luminifera. The record is from RNAcentral. Lineage: Eukaryota; Viridiplantae; Streptophyta; Magnoliopsida; Fagales; Betulaceae.
ACGUCAAAGAUCACGGAAAACAGGUAUUACAGUGAAUUAUCCAAUCUUCGUGGACUAACACAUAAAAUACCGACCAUUGCAUCAAACUCCGAAGUUGAUGAAUUUGUAACCCAGCCACAACCAAGUUUCCACUUGUUUAAGAACACUCGUUGCCUUUUGGUGGGGAACAGGGGAAACAAGAGGCGAAACAAAGACCAAUGGCACUCAAAAUCAAUUAUAUCAACCAUGCUAGUGGUAAUCCGGGUAUUAAUCUGACAGUAAAAUGAGUGAAAUGAUUUUUAUGCCUCUUCUUUUUAUUUUUUUUAAUUGCAAAUUUAUCAUUAAUUUCAAAUAAAAAAUAUUUUAAAAAAAUUUGACCCAGCACAUUUGGAUCAUUGGGUCACCACUUGGCCCCGCCGUGGGUCUGGUCGUGACCAGCACGACAUGGCCCACGAGUCACUUUUAUUUUAUAAAAAAUUAAAAUUAAAAAAUUGAGGGUAUUUAAGUAAUUUAACAUAUUUCUGUUAAAAUUUAAUAAAAGAUCCUAACAGACGAAGGAUAUUGCAAAAAAUUUCAACUUGGAUAUACUUAAUUGAUAGAUUUUUUAAAUUUUAGAGGGACAAUAAAAAAAGUCGUGACAUUUUUGAAAGUAAGUGAAAUUAUCCCACAAAGAAUAUAAUUUACGAUGGGUUUUUGUUUUUCUAAUUCUUAUAAUUACGAGCUUCUUGUAAGUUAUGUAAAUUCAAAAGUUUUGACAGAUAUCCAAAAUGUAUAUGUCAUGAUCUAAAAAAACAAUAAAUGUGUUUGCUUAGAUAAACAAUAAACGCAUUCCACUUGAUCACAAGAAUGUGAGACUUGGGUGUUUUCAUAUAUAUAUAUAUAUAUAUAUGAUAGGGGGAAAUACACUUUAAAACUAUAAAAGUUUUGAAGAAGUCUGAGGAUCGUGUCUUGUCGAAUCCAGUCUUGUCAAAUAUCUUCCACGGCUCCUUAUCAUCCUUAUCAUCGGCAAAGAUAAAGAGCCGUGGUUGAUAUUCACAAUACUGGAUGGACAGAAUCGUCGGCGACAAGGAAACGGCAGUUGUUCGUCUUCACCAAGUUGAAGCCAAUGAGUUUGUUUUCAAGAUCACGAACUUCUUCAGUGCGUUCAAUCUUCCAAGUCAAGGAUGGACAUAAUCGUUGGCUGCGGGACUUGGAAGAUUGAACGCACUGAAGAAGUUCGUGAUCGUGAAAACAAACUCAUUGGCUUCAAGAAAUCAUUUGUCUUCGAAUAUAAAAAGAACAAGGCCAAAGGUAAUGGACACUGGAUCAUGAACGAUUUUUCUCUUCGAGCCUAUUCACAUGCUGAAGGUGUAAGUAUUGUUUAGUAUAUGUA